Molecule: unclassified non-coding RNA, 329 nt
Filed under: soil metagenome
Description: partial contains 5.8S ribosomal RNA, internal transcribed spacer 2, and large subunit ribosomal RNA
Rfam family: 5.8S ribosomal RNA (bases 1-120)
Source: RNAcentral
GAUGAAGAACGUAGCGAAAUGCGAUAAGUAGUGUGAAUUGCAGAAUUCAGUGAAUCAUCGAAUCUUUGAACGCACAUUGCGCCCCUUGGUAUCCCGAGGGGCAUGCCUGUUCGAGCGUCAUUUCACCACUCAAGCCUGGCUUGGUGUUGGGCGACGUCCCCUUUGGGGACGCGCCUCGAAACGCUCGGCGGCGUGGCACCGGCUUUAAGCGUAGCAGAAUCUUUCGCUUUGGAAGUCGGGGCCCCGUCUGCCGGAAGACCUACUCGCAAGGUUGACCUCGGAUCAGGCAGGGAUACCCGCUGAACUUAAGCAUAUCAAUGAGCGGAGGA